GUUCGGCUGGUGUAGUGGUUAUCACAUCUUGCUCACAUCUAAUGGUAGAAAUACCUGGGUCUCUUCCAAGAAGGUGGCAGGUUCGAUCCCUGCGUCGAACA
Molecule: non-coding RNA, 101 nt
Organism: Bombardia bombarda
Lineage: Eukaryota; Fungi; Ascomycota; Sordariomycetes; Sordariales; Lasiosphaeriaceae
Source: the annotation of a GenBank genome assembly